Molecule: transfer RNA, 87 nt
Filed under: Alphaproteobacteria bacterium
Lineage: Bacteria; Pseudomonadati; Pseudomonadota; Alphaproteobacteria
Also listed under: 1 other name
Description: tRNA-Leu
Rfam family: tRNA
About the family: Transfer RNA (tRNA) molecules are approximately 80 nucleotides in length. Their secondary structure includes four short double-helical elements and three loops (D, anti-codon, and T loops). Further hydrogen bonds mediate the characteristic L-shaped molecular structure. tRNAs have two regions of fundamental functional importance: the anti-codon, which is responsible for specific mRNA codon recognition, and the 3' end, to which the tRNAs corresponding amino acid is attached (by aminoacyl-tRNA synthetases). tRNAs cope with the degeneracy of the genetic code in two manners: having more than one tRNA (with a specific anti-codon) for a particular amino acid; and 'wobble' base-pairing, i.e. permitting non-standard base-pairing at the 3rd anti-codon position.
Source: RNAcentral
GCGGCCAUGGCGGAACUGGUAGACGCGCAACGUUGAGGUCGUUGUGAGAGAAAUCUCGUGGAGGUUCAAGUCCUCUUGGCCGCACCA